This is a long non-coding RNA of Oryzias melastigma (Indian medaka), 543 nucleotides long. RefSeq lists it as uncharacterized. NCBI's taxonomy places the organism in Eukaryota, Metazoa, Chordata, Actinopteri, Beloniformes, Adrianichthyidae. The record is from RefSeq and is a predicted model, not a curated record. The transcript has 3 exons.
GGCUCAGUGUGUGUAUUUAAUUUAACUUGCGGCGCUCUGACUGGGACUGUGCAAGAGAGCAUCACCUUAAAGAUGACCAGAGUCAACCAGUUCAAAAGGUCAGAAUCAAUCACUUGGCUGGUUUCUCUCCUGUAAAGGUUUAUUUCAGAGUCCAUGCUUUGGUCAGGGUCUGUGUGGAUAACUGCUCCUUCAGAGAGAAAUGUUUUAGCAGUAGACUACGGGUCAUCUAACCUGCUAACAAACCAAGGAAUCAGGGAAAAUGUGUUUUAAUCACUGGGACCUGCUACAGUACAGAUCAAUUCCAAUGUACCAACAGCUGUCAUGGCUACAGGUGUAUAAAGGCUUUUUCCAGUGGAAGUGAUUGGGGGGCUCACCAACACAGUCACAAAAAGGUAAAAUGAGUAAAAGGACAGAAGAUGAUCUGUGGAUGAAGAGGUCACCAGAGUUCAUCAGCGCAGACCUCUCUGUGGCCUUCAGCGUGCCUCUCAUGCGUGUCAAAGUCAAGGCCCGGGGGCCGGAUCUGGCCCUCCAGGUAAUCCUAUC